Non-coding RNA from Paramuricea clavata, 786 nucleotides. Lineage: Eukaryota; Metazoa; Cnidaria; Anthozoa; Malacalcyonacea; Plexauridae. The record is from the annotation of a GenBank genome assembly.
UGCUGUUGCAUCCCUAACCUGCUAAACUGCUGGCAGAUAUUAAAACAUAUGUAUAAGGAAAGCUAUAAGGGCAGUUAAAAAAUAUAACAAGGAUUUGGUUUAUAAACUGUUUAUUUCUAGAGAUGAUAACACAAUAUAAAGAUGGAAUUCACUAUAUUCAUAUUUUUAAUGAUAUGUUUUAUAAGUCUAAAUUCCUUUUAAUAUUCCUCUGAUAUACAAAUCUUCUGAAAACUUUAAUAUUAUCAAGGUUUAUAACCGACUUAAUAUUAGAAUUGAGACUCUUUUCAGGUAUUUUAAUACUACAGUAGCAAAAUAUAUCAACACAGAGUACAUAUUUGCAAAUUGUUUUUGUAAAUUGCCCUUUCCAUGCGCUCUUUCAACCAUUAGAAACAUAAUAGCGUUAAACGGCUAAAUUAUGCUGGAGGAACCACAAAUGUCUCUACAUUUAAAGCUUUUUCAAACCGACACAGAGGUGAAUGGACAAGAUUACAAUUAAUAAUUUGUGACAUUUUUCGUCGACAACAGCGCAGCACUCUUCGCGGCUCCUGCCGGCUCUAUACUGACCCUGUUUCACACGCAAUAUUUUCCAUAUUCAGUCGCUAACACACCUUUUGUAUCUCACUAUGAAGAACAUCAACAUUUCCACCAAAACCCCGAAAAAAUAAUCAUUUUAUAGACGAAAGAAUAAAAUAUUUCAAACAAUUUGUUUUGCUUUUGCCAACGCAUGCGCAGUUCGGUCGACAUACAGUUUUCUGUAUGUCUGAUUCGGAUUAUCCCAGAGCCUUC